RNAcentral lists this ribosomal RNA (349 nucleotides) under uncultured bacterium. Its description in RNAcentral is "bacterial SSU rRNA". It matches the Rfam family "Bacterial small subunit ribosomal RNA", at positions 8 to 353 of the family's 1533-position model. The record is from RNAcentral.
AGAGUUUGAUCCUGGCUCAGGAUGAACGCUAGCGACAGGCUUAACACAUGCAAGUCGAGGGGCAUCAUGAGGUAGCAAUACCUUGAUGGCGGCCGGCGCACGGGUGAGUAACGCGUAUGCAACCUGCCCGAUACCGGGGUAUAGCCCAUGGAAACGUGGAUUAACACCCCAUAGUACUUUUAUCCUGCAUGGGAUGUGAGUUAAAUGUUCAAGGUAUCGGAUGGGCAUGCGUCCUAUUAGUUAGUUGGCGGGGUAACAGCCCACCAAGACGAUGAUAGGUAGGGGUUCUGAGAGGAAGGUCCCCCACAUUGGAACUGAGACACGGUCCAAACUCCUACGGGAGGCAGCA